Canis lupus familiaris (dog) is the source of this 384-nucleotide long non-coding RNA. RefSeq lists it as uncharacterized. The transcript has 3 exons. The record is from RefSeq and is a predicted model, not a curated record. Lineage: Eukaryota; Metazoa; Chordata; Mammalia; Carnivora; Canidae.
CAUCACUACUGGUACUUGUUGAUAGCAGAGGAAGAACAUAAUGACGUUUAUGUUAUUAGUUUGUUAGCGAAUAUCUUAAGUCUCUGAUCUUAAUUUGAGAACCUAGAGUAGAUUACAUAACAGCUCAUUCUACAUCUGAACCAAAUAACAAAGUAACUGAUCUUGCAAAGCAGAAGAGAGAGGAUCAUUUUCAGCUGAAAGAAUUAAGAAGGAACUCUGUAUGAAUGAGCAUCCAUCCUUGACCUUGAAGGACAAAGAGAAAUCAGAAGGCAGCAUAGAAUGGGGGGAAUGAGCUCCUGAGAUCCACAGGUUAGGCGUAAACCAUCAGAAGAAAUUGACAUCCAACAGUACACAUUAUGACAAAUGCCAAGAAGGAAACUGACU